UAUAUAUAUAGUUUUCUUCACAUGAAUAAAAGAUCCAAUCCGCUGGGUGCGAUUGUUAAGGCAUGCUCGCUGUUCGUUGAAGUACUAGUCCUUGAGUGAUAUAAGUAGCCAAACUACAUUGUACUGUAUCAUAGUCUAUCAACACUGAUGUUUUGAGGUCAAAUCUGGAACGUAACAUGUGAGUUCGUAGAUUUAAAGUUUUCCUACCGAAGAUCGGUGGUUCUUUCCAGGCACUCUGGCCUUCGACACCAAUUUCCUG
This 259-nucleotide long non-coding RNA is filed under the name Mytilus galloprovincialis (Mediterranean mussel). The record is from RNAcentral. Lineage: Eukaryota; Metazoa; Mollusca; Bivalvia; Mytilida; Mytilidae.